Camelina sativa (false flax) is the source of this 739-nucleotide long non-coding RNA. RefSeq lists it as uncharacterized. NCBI's taxonomy places the organism in Eukaryota, Viridiplantae, Streptophyta, Magnoliopsida, Brassicales, Brassicaceae. The record is from RefSeq and is a predicted model, not a curated record.
AAAUUGCAGAGCAACUAGUAUUUAAGCUAGCCUUGUUUCAUCACCAUUUCAUCAAUACAAGCUUAUAAUAACUCUUCACAUACAUUUUGCAAUCAAACAACUAAUCAAUCAAAAGAUGGAAGGCAAAACUUUGAUUCUAAGUGUGCUCCUAAUGAGUCUAUUCAUGGCACAAAUUCAAGUUGACGCAAAGAGCUGCUGUCCGUCCACCACUGCUAGAAAUAUUUAUAACACUGCCGCUUAACUGGAAGUCCCAGGCCAGUAUGUGCAAGUCUCAGUGGCUGCAAAAACAUUGGUGGGACGAAAUGUCCUCCUGGAUAUACCCAUGACAUUCUCGAAAACACAGGUGAUGCUGUCACUAAAUACUGCAAGGUUGGAUGCGUAUCCUCUGUGUGUGGUGCUUUAACCACUAUUCAGAACUUUGAUGCAAGUGAAGUCGUGAAUGAAGCGGUUGAAAAAUGUGCCAACGCAUGUUCUACAGUCUGCACCAAGGAUUCGAUGAAUGCAGUUGAAACUGCCUAGACAACUAUAUCUAUCCAUGAAGAUACCACAUACAUCUGUGGGUGAAGUGUGGUCAUCUUUUACAAUGUUGUUUUCAUGUUUUCAAUAAUUGUCGUGUAUGUGACAAAACAUUUAAGAUUCUUGCACUCAUUUGUGUAUGUAUGUAGAAGGUUGUCAAUCUAUAGAUUGUAUAUGCCUUCUACUUCUUAUCUUUUAAAUAAUGAAUAAUGUGUUCGUAAUA